RNAcentral lists this ribosomal RNA (250 nucleotides) under uncultured prokaryote. RNAcentral's name for it is "partial 16S ribosomal RNA". It matches the Rfam family "Bacterial small subunit ribosomal RNA", at positions 524 to 773 of the family's 1533-position model. The record is from RNAcentral.
UACGAAGGGUGCAAGCGUUGUUCGGAAUUACUGGGCGUAAAGGGUGUGUAGGCGGUCAUGUAAGAUAGCGGUGAAAUCCCGGGGCUCAACCUCGGAAUUGCCAUUAUAACUAUGUGACUAGAGUGACAGAGAGGAUAUUGGAAUACCCAGUGUAGAGGUGAAAUUCGUAGAUAUUGGGUAGAACACCGGAGGCGAAGGCGAGUAUCUGGCUGUAAACUGACGCUGAGGCACGAAAGCAUGGGGAUCAAAC